This 2892-nucleotide ribosomal RNA is filed under the name Escherichia coli. RNAcentral's name for it is "23S ribosomal RNA". It matches the Rfam family "Bacterial large subunit ribosomal RNA". The record is from RNAcentral. Lineage: Bacteria; Pseudomonadati; Pseudomonadota; Gammaproteobacteria; Enterobacterales; Enterobacteriaceae.
UUAAGCGACUAAGCGUACACGGUGGAUGCCCUGGCAGUCAGAGGCGAUGAAGGACGUGCUAAUCUGCGAUAAGCGUCGGUAAGGUGAUAUGAACCGUUAUAACCGGCGAUUUCCGAAUGGGGAAACCCAGUGUGAUUCGUCACACUAUCAUUAACUGAAUCCAUAGGUUAAUGAGGCGAACCGGGGGAACUGAAACAUCUAAGUACCCCGAGGAAAAGAAAUCAACCGAGAUUCCCCCAGUAGCGGCGAGCGAACGGGGAGCAGCCCAGAGCCUGAAUCAGUGUGUGUGUUAGUGGAAGCGUCUGGAAAGGCGCGCGAUACAGGGUGACAGCCCCGUACACAAAAAUGCACAUACUGUGAGCUCGAUGAGUAGGGCGGGACACGUGGUAUCCUGUCUGAAUAUGGGGGGACCAUCCUCCAAGGCUAAAUACUCCUGACUGACCGAUAGUGAACCAGUACCGUGAGGGAAAGGCGAAAAGAACCCCGGCGAGGGGAGUGAAAAAGAACCUGAAACCGUGUACGUACAAGCAGUGGGAGCCUCUUAAUGGGGUGACUGCGUACCUUUUGUAUAAUGGGUCAGCGACUUAUAUUCUGUAGCAAGGUUAACCGAAUAGGGGAGCCGAAGGGAAACCGAGUCUUAACUGGGCGUUAAGUUGCAGGGUAUAGACCCGAAACCCGGUGAUCUAGCCAUGGGCAGGUUGAAGGUUGGGUAACACUAACUGGAGGACCGAACCGACUAAUGUUGAAAAAUUAGCGGAUGACUUGUGGCUGGGGGUGAAAGGCCAAUCAAACCGGGAGAUAGCUGGUUCUCCCCGAAAGCUAUUUAGGUAGCGCCUCGUGAAUUCAUCUCCGGGGUAGAGCACUGUUUCGGCAAGGGGUCAUCCCGACUUACCAACCCGAUGCAAACUGCGAAUACCGGAGAAUGUUAUCACGGGAGACACACGGCGGGUGCUAACGUCCGUCGUGAAGAGGAAACAACCCAGACCGCCAGCUAAGGUCCCAAAGUCAUGGUUAAGUGGGAAACGAUGUGGGAAGGCCCAGACAGCCAGGAUGUUGGCUUAGAAGCAGCCAUCAUUUAAAGAAAGCGUAAUAGCUCACUGGUCGAGUCGGCCUGCGCGGAAGAUGUAACGGGGCUAAACCAUGCACCGAAGCUGCGGCAGCGACACUAUGUGUUGUUGGGUAGGGGAGCGUUCUGUAAGCCUGUGAAGGUGUACUGUGAGGUAUGCUGGAGGUAUCAGAAGUGCGAAUGCUGACAUAAGUAACGAUAAAGCGGGUGAAAAGCCCGCUCGCCGGAAGACCAAGGGUUCCUGUCCAACGUUAAUCGGGGCAGGGUGAGUCGACCCCUAAGGCGAGGCCGAAAGGCGUAGUCGAUGGGAAACAGGUUAAUAUUCCUGUACUUGGUGUUACUGCGAAGGGGGGACGGAGAAGGCUAUGUUGGCCGGGCGACGGUUGUCCCGGUUUAAGCGUGUAGGCUGGUUUUCCAAAUCCGGAAAAUCAAGGCUGAGGCGUGAUGACGAGGCACUACGGUGCUGAAGCAACAAAUGCCCUGCUUCCAGGAAAAGCCUCUAAGCAUCAGGUAACAUCAAAUCGUACCCCAAACCGACACAGGUGGUCAGGUAGAGAAUACCAAGGCGCUUGAGAGAACUCGGGUGAAGGAACUAGGCAAAAUGGUGCCGUAACUUCGGGAGAAGGCACGCUGAUAUGUAGGUGAAGUCCCUUGCGGAUGGAGCUGAAAUCAGUCGAAGAUACCAGCUGGCUGCAACUGUUUAUUAAAAACACAGCACUGUGCAAACACGAAAGUGGACGUAUACGGUGUGACGCCUGCCCGGUGCCGGAAGGUUAAUUGAUGGGGUUAGCGGUAACGCGAAGCUCUUGAUCGAAGCCCGGUAAACGGCGGCCGUAACUAUAACGGUCCUAAGGUAGCGAAAUUCCUUGUCGGGUAAGUUCCGACCUGCACGAAUGGCGUAAUGAUGGCGGGCUGUCUCCACCCGAGACUCAGUGAAAUUGAACUCGCUGUGAAGAUGCAGUGUACCCGCGGCAAGACGGAAAGACCCCGUGAACCUUUACUAUAGCUUGACACUGAACAUUGAGCCUUGAUGUGUAGGAUAGGUGGGAGGCUUUGAAGUGUGGACGCCAGUCUGCAUGGAGCCGACCUUGAAAUACCACCCUUUAAUGUUUGAUGUUCUAACGUUGGCCCCUAAUCGGGGUUGCGGACAGUGUCUGGUGGGUAGUUUGACUGGGGCGGUCUCCUCCUAAAGAGUAACGGAGGAGCACGAAGGUUGGCUAAUCCUGGUCGGACAUCAGGAGGUUAGUGCAAUGGCAUAAGCCAGCUUGACUGCGAGCGUGACGGCGCGAGCAGGUGCGAAAGCAGGUCAUAGUGAUCCGGUGGUUCUGAAUGGAAGGGCCAUCGCUCAACGGAUAAAAGGUACUCCGGGGAUAACAGGCUGAUACCGCCCAAGAGUUCAUAUCGACGGCGGUGUUUGGCACCUCGAUGUCGGCUCAUCACAUCCUGGGGCUGAAGUAGGUCCCAAGGGUAUGGCUGUUCGCCAUUUAAAGUGGUACGCGAGCUGGGUUUAGAACGUCGUGAGACAGUUCGGUCCCUAUCUGCCGUGGGCGCUGGAGAACUGAGGGGGGCUGCUCCUAGUACGAGAGGACCGGAGUGGACGCAUCACUGGUGUUCGGGUUGUCAUGCCAAUGGCACUGCCCGGUAGCUAAAUGCGGAAGAGAUAAGUGCUGAAAGCAUCUAAGCACGAAACUUGCCCCGAGAUGAGUUCUCCCUGACUCCCUGAGAGUCCUGAAGGAACGUUGAAGACGACGACGUUGAUAGGCCGGGUGUGUAAGCGCAGCGAUGCGUUGAGCUAACCGGUACUAAUGAACCGUGAGGCUUAACCU